Molecule: long non-coding RNA, 667 nt
Filed under: Homo sapiens (human)
Lineage: Eukaryota; Metazoa; Chordata; Mammalia; Primates; Hominidae
Description: non-protein coding lnc-NR4A2-10:1
Source: RNAcentral
AAGGAAGACAGGACAACCUGGAAGUCCAAACUCUUCCUUAAGAGCAUCCAACUUUUAGAUGAUUAACCAAAAUGCCUCAUUGUGGAAGUGACAUUGUGGGUUCCAAAUAGAUACAGAUCCACAUAUACUUCUGAGGGAAGUCUGUGGAGCUGAUGGACAAGAACACUAUAAUGCACAAGACCAUCUGAGGCCAUCCAGAAAACAACUCAGCUCUGGAGAAACUGUUGCCUCAUAUCUGAGGGAAUGUGGGCUUUGUGUUCACCAAGGAGGUCUUCACUGAGAUUAGGGACAUACUGCUGGCCAAUAGGUGCCAGCUGAUAUCUGUGCAGGUGCCAUUGCUCCACCUGAAGUCACUGUACCAGCCCAGAACACUAGUCUGGGUCCCAAGAAGUCAUUUUUCUUCCAGGCUUUAGGCAUCACCACUAAAAUCUCCAGGGUCACUAUUGGAAUCCUCAGUGAUGUACAGCUGAUGAGGACUGGAGACAAAUUGGAAGCCAGUGAAGCCACACUGCUGAACAUGCUGAACACUGCCCAGCUCUUCUCCUUUGGACUGAUCAUCAAGAGAGUGUUUAACAACAGCAGCAUCUCCCACCCUUAAAGUCCUUGCCAUCACAGAGGAAACUGCAUUCUCACUUCCUGGAGGGUGUCCACAAUGUUGCCAGUGUUU